GCUUUAUAUAUAAAUUUAAUUUUGUUGAAUUAAGAUAAUAAUAAUAAAGUUAAGUUAUUAUAUUGUGUUGGGGUGACAUGGAUAUAAAUUUAUUUAACUGUUCAAAAAUAUAAACAUGGAUUUAUGAGUAUUAAUAAGUGAUCCUUUAUAAAGAUUUAAGACUAAGUU
RNAcentral lists this ribosomal RNA (168 nucleotides) under Aethra edentata. RNAcentral describes it as "partial 16S ribosomal RNA". Lineage: Eukaryota; Metazoa; Arthropoda; Malacostraca; Decapoda; Aethridae. The record is from RNAcentral.